GAGGGGAUAGCUCAGUGGCAGAGCACGUGCUUAGCAUGCACGAGGUCCUGGGUUCAAUCCCCAGUACCACCA
Molecule: transfer RNA, 72 nt
Filed under: Camelus bactrianus (Bactrian camel)
Lineage: Eukaryota; Metazoa; Chordata; Mammalia; Artiodactyla; Camelidae
Also listed under: 2 other names
Rfam family: tRNA
About the family: Transfer RNA (tRNA) molecules are approximately 80 nucleotides in length.
Source: Rfam by way of RNAcentral